CCUACGGGGGGCAGCAGUGAGGAAUAUUGGUCAAUGGGCGCAAGCCUGAACCAGCCAAGUCGCGUGAGGGAAGACGGCCCUACGGGUUGUAAACCUCUUUUGCCGGGGAGCAAGCCUGAGCACGUGUGCCCAGGCGGAGAGUACCCGGAGAAAAAGCAUCGGCUAACUACGUGCCAGCAGCCGCGGUAAUACGUAGGUGGCAAGCGUUGUCCGGAUUUAUUGGGCGUAAAGCGAGUGCAGGCGG
RNAcentral lists this ribosomal RNA (244 nucleotides) under uncultured bacterium. Its description in RNAcentral is "partial 16S ribosomal RNA". It matches the Rfam family "Bacterial small subunit ribosomal RNA", at positions 338 to 578 of the family's 1533-position model. The record is from RNAcentral.